GCGUCUAUACAUGCAGUCGAGCGGACAGAUGGGAGCUUGCUCCCUGAUGUUAGCGGCGGACGGGUGAGUAACACGUGGGUAACCUGCCUGUAAGACUGGGAUAACUCCGGGAAACCGGGGCUAAUACCGGAUGGUUGUUUGAACCGCAUGGUUCAGACAUAAAAGGUGGCUUCGGCUACCACUUACAGAUGGACCCGCGGCGCAUUAGCUAGUUGGUGAGGUAACGGCUCACCAAGGCGACGAUGCGUAGCCGACCUGAGAGGGUGAUCGGCCACACUGGGACUGAGACACGGCCCAGACUCCUACGGGAGGCAGCAGUAGGGAAUCUUCCGCAAUGGACGAAAGUCUGACGGAGCAACGCCGCGUGAGUGAUGAAGGUUUUCGGAUCGUAAAGCUCUGUUGUUAGGGAAGAACAAGUGCCGUUCAAAUAGGGCGGCACCUUGACGGUACCUAACCAGAAAGCCACGGCUAACUACGUGCCAGCAGCCGCGGUAAUACGUAGGUGGCAAGCGUUGUCCGGAAUUAUUGGGCGUAAAGGGCUCGCAGGCGGUUUCUUAAGUCUGAUGUGAAAGCCCCCGGCUCAACCGGGGAGGGUCAUUGGAAACUGGGGAACUUGAGUGCAGAAGAGGAGAGUGGAAUUCCACGUGUAGCGGUGAAAUGCGUAGAGAUGUGGAGGAACACCAGUGGCGAAGGCGACUCUCUGGUCUGUAACUGACGCUGAGGAGCGAAAGCGUGGGGAGCGAACAGGAUUAGAUAC
RNAcentral lists this ribosomal RNA (757 nucleotides) under Bacillus vallismortis. RNAcentral's name for it is "bacterial SSU rRNA". It matches the Rfam family "Bacterial small subunit ribosomal RNA", at positions 46 to 785 of the family's 1533-position model. Lineage: Bacteria; Bacillati; Bacillota; Bacilli; Caryophanales; Bacillaceae. The record is from RNAcentral.